Molecule: ribosomal RNA, 449 nt
Filed under: uncultured bacterium
Lineage: Bacteria
Description: bacterial SSU rRNA
Rfam family: Bacterial small subunit ribosomal RNA
Source: RNAcentral
UUCCCAGACUCCUACGGGAGGCAGCAGUGGGGAAUAUUGGGCAAUGGGCGCAAGCCUGACCCAGCAAUGCCGCGUGAAGGAAGAAGGCUUUCGGGUUGUAAACUUCUUUGACAGGGGAAGAGCAGAAGACGGUACCCUGAAAACAAGCCACGGCUAACUACGUGCCAGCAGCCGCGGUAAUACGUAGGUGGCAAGCGUUGUCCGGAUUUACUGGGUGUAAAGGGCGUGUAGCCGGGAAGGCAAGUCAGAUGUGAAAUCUGGAGGCUCAACCUCCAAAUUGCAUUUGAAACUGUUUUUCUUGAGUACUGGAGAGGCAGACGGAAUUCCUUGUGUAGCGGUGAAAUGCGUAGAUAUUAGGAGGAACACCAGUGGCGAAGGCGACUUUCUGGACUGUACCUGACGCUGAGGCGCGAAAGCGUGGGUAGCGAACGGGAUUAGAUACCCCGGUA